RNAcentral lists this long non-coding RNA (565 nucleotides) under Mytilus galloprovincialis (Mediterranean mussel). The record is from RNAcentral. Lineage: Eukaryota; Metazoa; Mollusca; Bivalvia; Mytilida; Mytilidae.
CUUAUAAAACGAUUCAGUCAAUGAAUCUUAAAUAAAACAUGAUAAUAUAGGGUAUGUAAGGGAGCUACCAUUUGAUUUUUAGGGGGGGGGUGGCUAGGAUGAAAUUUGAAAAAAAUAGGCAGGACAGGAGUUUUGAGAUAAUUUAGGUAAAAAAAGUCAGGAUAAACUAAAAAAAAAAAAAGGCAGGACCGAACAGAGUGAAAAAUAAAAAGGCAGGACAGAGAUUACAGCUAAAAAAAAAUGCAGGACAAAAUUUUUCAUCCUAGCCCCCCCCCCAUAAAAAUCAAAUGGUAGCUCCCUAAUGUCAAUUUACAAAACUUCUGGGAAAAUAAACGGAAGAGGAAGUUGUCUAUGAAUAAAAGCCGGUGUGAUGACGGACACAUAUCCGGACUUCUUUUUUUCCGUUUUUCUCCCAAAAAAACCGAAACUGAAUAAUCAUAAGAAUGGAUGACAAAUGCGACUAUGCAUGGUACCUAUUGGACAUACAGUUACAAUGAUCAAUUUAUUGUGGAAGGAGGAGAAGCGACACCCAAAAUGAGGUCUUCUCGUUUAAUAGUAUAGAUAG